GACGAACGCUGGCGGCGUGCUUAACACAUGCAAGUCGAACGGAAAGGCCCUGCUUUUGUGGGGUGCUCGAGUGGCGAACGGGUGAGUAACACGUGAGUAACCUGCCCUUGACUUUGGGAUAACUUCAGGAAACUGGGGCUAAUACCGGAUAGGAGCUCCUGCUGCAUGGUGGGGGUUGGAAAGUUUCGGCGGUUGGGGAUGGACUCGCGGCUUAUCAGCUUGUUGGUGGGGUAGUGGCUUACCAAGGCUUUGACGGGUAGCCGGCCUGAGAGGGUGACCGGCCACAUUGGGACUGAGAUACGGCCCAGACUCCUACGGGAGGCAGCAGUGGGGAAUAUUGCACAAUGGGCGGAAGCCUGAUGCAGCAACGCCGCGUGCGGGAUGACGGCCUUCGGGUUGUAAACCGCUUUCGCCUGUGACGAAGCGUGAGUGACGGUAAUGGGUAAAGAAGCACCGGCUAACUACGUGCCAGCAGCCGCGGUGAUACGUAGGGUGCGAGCGUUGUCCGGAUUUAUUGGGCGUAAAGGGCUCGUAGGUGGUUGAUCGCGUCGGAAGUGUAAUCUUGGGGCUUAACCCUGAGCGUGCUUUCGAUACGGGUUGACUUGAGGAAGGUAGGGGAGAAUGGAAUUCCUGGUGGAGCGGUGGAAUGCGCAGAUAUCAGGAGGAACACCAGUGGCGAAGGCGGUUCUCUGGGCCUUCCCUGACGCUGAGGAGCGAAAGCGUGGGGAGCGAACAGGCUUAGAUACCCUGGUAGUCCACGCUGUAAACGGUGGGUACUAGGUGUGGGGUCCACUCCACGGGUUCCGUGCCGUAGCUAACGCUUUAAGUACCCCGCCUGGGGAGUACGGCCGCAAGGCUAAAACUCAAAGGAAUUGACGGGGCCCCGCACAAGCGGCGGAGCAUGCGGAUUAAUUCGAUGCAACGCGUAGAACCUUACCUGGGUUUGACAUGGAUCGGGAGCGCUCAGAGAUGGGUGUGCCUCUUUUGGGGUCGGUUCACAGGUGGUGCAUGGCUGUCGUCAGCUCGUGUCGUGAGAUGUUGGGUUAAGUCCCGCAACGAGCGCAACCCUUGUUCACUGUUGCCAGCACGUUAUGGUGGGGACUCAGUGGAGACCGCCGGGGUCAACUCGGAGGAAGGUGGGGAUGACGUCAAGUCAUCAUGCCCCUUAUGUCCAGGGCUUCACGCAUGCUACAAUGGCUGGUACAGAGAGUGGCGAGCCUGUGAGGGUGAGCGAAUCUCGGAAAGCCGGUCUCAGUUCGGAUUGGGGUCUGCAACUCGACCUCAUGAAGUCGGAGUCGCUAGUAAUCGCAGAUCAGCAACGCUGCGGUGAAUACGUUCCCGGGGCU
RNAcentral lists this ribosomal RNA (1346 nucleotides) under uncultured bacterium. RNAcentral describes it as "bacterial SSU rRNA". It matches the Rfam family "Bacterial small subunit ribosomal RNA", at positions 28 to 1381 of the family's 1533-position model. The record is from RNAcentral.